UCUAAAACUUUUGAAUAAGAUUACUCUCACACUUAUGGUGAGUACUUCAUGAUACUGUCAUUCAUCCAUCUCAUGUUUCACCAUCUUAUGAUUGACUUUCUUCAGUCUAUUAACUGAGUAGUUGCGAAAUAGUAUUUGACUAGAUAUGCCUUGUUCUUAGGGAACCCGUAUUGGCCACACUGUGUACAGUUUUGGACCUUUUAUUUUUUUAACUUAAAUAUAUUAGGAUUUCCCUUUAAAACUUCUCUAAAAGCGUAAUUUUACAUAGGUAUAUAAUAUCGCGUUGUAUGAACAUAACAAUUUAUUCACUACCCUACUGUUGAACAUUUAUUUAUUAAUUCCAAAAAUACAUAUUGAAUGCCUGAUAUGUGCCAUCACUCAUCUAUAGGCUGAGGACACAUCACUGAACAAAAUAGACAAACACAUCAUGAGCUUACAUUAAGUGAGAGUAUAUGAAUAACAACCAAACAGGUAAAAUAAAUGUCAGAUGGUGGGAUAAGAGCCAGGGAGACAAAGCAGAAUGGUCAAUGCAGAACCUGAGAAAGAGGUACUGAGUUAAAUAUCUGAGUAAGGUGAGAAAGUAAGGCAGUUAUCAGUGACAAGAGCAUUCCAGACAGAAAUAGCAUGCACGCAGUUGCUGAGGUAGAGUGUGAAAGGAAAGGGAGUGUUAAAGGAAAGGGAGGGGUGCUAAAGGAAAGGGAGGAGGCCAGUGUGUUUGAGAGCGAGAGUGAAAGGGAGAAGACUAGAUUGUGGAAGGCAGUGGUUCUUGACAGGGAUAGUAAAUGGCUCCCAAAGAGAUAUUUUGGAAAUUUAUGUGAUUUUUCUUGGGUCAUCACUGUAAUUGGGGAUUAUUUCUGGAAUGCAGUAGAUAGGUGUCAGGUAUGUUACUAUUUCUGUAAUGUACAAGACAGUUCCACACAAGGAAGGGUUGUCCCUUGUCACUUAUAGCUUUUGAAUGUCCCUGUAGAUAUUAAUGUUGAUGAAAAACCUUUUAUAAAUUAUUUCAGUGUCAUGUUUUAAAUGAUUUUUUUUAGUAUAGGGUGUUUCUUCUGUUUUUUCUUUCUUUCAUGACUGACAUUUUUGAAGAGUACAAGCUAAUUACUUUGCAGAUUCCCCUCAAAUUGAAUUUAUCUGCUGUGUUCCAUGAUUUGAUUCAGAUUUGAUUUUUAUGUAGGAAAGCCACAGAAGUGAUGGGCUUUUCAUGCUUGUCAGGAGACACAUUAUGUUGAUUUGUCUCAAUACUUGUAAUGUUAACUCGACCACUUAGUUAAGGUGGUAUCUGCUGGUUUGUGUGUUUUACAUAUUAAUUAAUAAGCAGUUAAUAAAUAUUAUGAAGAGAUUCUUUGAGACUGUAAAUAUCUCUAGUUUAGGAUCUAGUGUUUAUACUUGCGUGAAUAAUUUAUUAAUAAAAUAGCUUUAAUUUGGUGAUCAAAAAAAAUUCUAUCAUCACUUCAGUAUUCAUUCAUUGGAAUUCUGUGGUAAGUUAAAAGUGUCCCUUCUCCAUUUUUUUAUUUAUAUCAUUAUGGGCUCUUGGAUUUUUCUUCUCAAAGGGUCACAACCUAUCACUAUCAUUGUUUAUUUUUGUACUCAAAUUACCCCACACUUGCCCAUGAGAACCAUUUUAAGCUGGUGCCUGUGUGUUUUCCUCAUGAUCCCAUCAUUUCAUGAGCAUUCACCCACUCUCUGAGAUAGGAAGAUACUGUAGGAAUAUCUUAUAUUUUCUUUCCACCAACCCUAGAGCUGUCUGUUUCUCCAAGGGGCCCUGGUUCUUUUUAGCAGAGAGUAGCAUGUAGAAACUAAGAUAUGUAUGCUUGGUGUGCUUAUUGAUACUAUGAUGCUGUUGCCUUUAUACCCUUUCAGCAGACGAUGUGUAUGUACAUAAUUGCACACACAACCCCCUCUCCUCUGUAUGCCUGUUUACUUAUCUAUUACUUUUAUUAUAAAAUGAAAGCUGUGAGUUUAUACUAGUACAUCCAGUUCCAUUCCAGUACUACAGGGUUAUUCUAGCCUUUUUUUCUUUCUUUAUUUGUAACUCACUUCUCUGAUAGUAAGAAACUUGGCUCCCAUUAUCCUCCAUAUAUUUAGUUACUUGUUUAAAUUCCCUUGUAUGUUUUUCCCUCAGCCACUCUGCUUAUCAUGCCUGCAACAGAUUGAAUUUCUUUCCCAGCCCCAAAUCUCUUUCAACCUACAAGUUUUAUAUGUAAUAUAAUUAUUAUUAUACCAUUCCAGAUAUUUUUAAAUUUCCAUUUUGAUUUGUUUCAACAGUGAAAGGUGAUAUAUUAGGAUAAUACCUUCAGUGUGCUGAAAGAAAAUAAAUUAUAUCUACCUAGAAUUGCGUGUCAGUGAAAAUCUGUUUUAAGAAUGUGGUAAUAUAAAAGUGAUUUUAGACAAUAACAGUUCAUUCAACUCUCAUUAAAAAUUUCUAAGUGGUUACCUCAGACUAAAGGGAAAUAAUCUAAUAUGGGAAAUUUGUGAUGUAGGAAAUAUUAAAGAGCAAAAGAUGUGUUAAGUAUGUGGAUAAAUAAAGCUAAAUAAGUAUAUGAAACAAAAAUACUAGGACCUUCAUGACUGAGAUAAAAUGUGGCAGAAACUUAAAAUAUAUGACAACAAUAUCGUACAGGUUUGAAGCUGUAUAAAUGGAGUUAAUCUUUUUCCAAGUUUCUUAACUGGGAAAAAGUUAGGUAUUAUUUACUUUAGCUUGAUAACUAUAUGUGUUAUAAUUUCUACGAUAACCCUGUCCCCUACAUCAUACCUUACUACAAAAUUAAUUUGAGAUGGAUCAUAGACUUUACGUUGAAAAGUAAAAUAAAGUUGCUUGAAAAUCUCUUCAUGAUGUUGGGUUAGGCAAAGGUUUCUUAAGAACAAAAAUACACUAUCCAUAAAAUAAAGGAUUGAUAAAUUGCUCUUCAUGAAAAUUAAGAACGUCUGGUAAUCAAAAGGCACCAUGAAGAGUGAAAAGUCAAGCUACACAGUGGAAGAGGGCAUUUCGGAUACAUAUAUUUGAUAAGGGACAUAAAUCUAGAAUAUAUAAGGAACUCAUGCAAAUCCAUUCUUCCUACCCAAAGACUUCAAUAGGUGUCUCAUAAAUGAAGAUAUCCAAGUGGCCAAUAAGCAUUUGAAAACAUUCUCAAUAUCACUGCCUCUUAGGUAAUGCAAAUUAACCAUAAUGAGAUACUGCUUCAUAUCAGAGUAGCUAAAAUUAAAAAGAGAACAAUACUAAAUAUUGGUAAAGUUAUGAAGCAACUGAAGCAGUCAUUUAUUGCUGAUGGGAAGGUAAACUGGUACAAAACUCUUAAAAUAAUUUACAGUUAUUUCAUAAUGGUAAACAUAUGCCUGACCUGGGACACUUCAUUACUACUUCUUUUUAGGUGCAUACUCAAGAAAUAUCAGUACCUAUGUUCAAUAGAAGACAUGGUCAAUAAUAAUUAUAGUAGCCUCAAACUGAAAACUACAUAAAUGUGUAUCAGGAGUAGAAUAGAUGAAUCAAUUAUGCUUUAUUCAUACAGUGAAAUCCUGUGUAGCCAUAAAAGAGAGCAAACUACUACUGCCUCAACAACUUUGAAAGCUGUCACACAUGUUGUGGUUAGCAGAAAAGCGAGACACAAACGAGCCAUACUGAAUAAUUCCAUUCAUAUGAAAUUCAAAAACUAACCAAUGGUGAGAAAAGUGAUAAGAAUGGUUACCUCUGGUGGAGUCAGGUGUGGUGUGUGUUAUUGACCGGGAAGAGGCACAAGAGGUCUUCUCAGGUAUAGGAAGUUUUGUAUAUCUGGAUAUGGGCAGUAUUUACAUUGCUGUCAACACAUAUAAAAAAUAAACUGCCUGACUUCAGAUUUGUACACCUUAUUAAUGAUUUAUUAUAUAUUAAUUAAAAAGAAACAUUGAACAAGAGAUACAAUUGAAAUCAUAGAAAAGGAACUUUAAAAAGGCAACCAUUUCUAAUCAUAGCAAAAACUUUAUAAAAAGCAUCAAGGUGUAAAUCUAACAAGAUUUAUGAGAUCUUUUAUUAGAGAAUAGUAAAAUUUCUUUUGAAAGGCUAAGUACAUAGAGAAAUAAAUUGUAUUUAUUAAUAAGACUCUAUAUCCAGCUAUCACAGACUGCUUCAAUGAAUCAAGGCAGAUGUUUCUUUAAAUUUUUUUUAUCAUGGUAAAAUACACAUAACACAGAAUUUACCUCUUAACUAUUUUUAAAUGUACAGUUUACUGGUGUUAAGUACAUUCAUAUUGUUGUGCAACCACCACCACCACCAUCCAUCUCCAAGACUCUUUUCAUCUUGUGAAACUGAAACUUUUGCCCAUUAAAUAGUAACUUCUUGUUCUCUUCCCAUCUGCCCCAGGCAACCACCAUUUUCCUUUUUGUUUUGUAUGAUUUUGAUUACUCUGAGUACUUCCUAUAAAUGGAAUAAUGCAAUAUUUGUCUUUUGGUGACUGGCUUAUUUCACUUAGUCGCAUGUGGUUCAUCCAUGUUGUAGCAUGUAAGUGAAUCUAUGGUAGACAGUAUAUAGUUGGAGCAUUCUGCCAAUCUCUGUCUUUUGAUUGGAUAAUUUAUUUGCUUUUAAAGUAAUUAACGAUAAGGAGGAACCUGCUUCUGUCCUUUUUCUCUUUGUUUUCUACAUCAAGGUACAAAUUUUAUGUUCAGAUACAAUUCCAAACCACAAUGAGGAUUUAUCUUACUGCCCUCUACCCCACAGAAAUGCAUUCGUAGGCUCCUAAAGGAAACUCUGUUAGAUUGCUUGUUGUCAAAAACUAUUUAGAUCAUUUUGGCCUGUUCCAUGCUAUGAGAAUGAGAUUCACGCUGUACCCAAGGAUUUACUGAUCUCUCUUGGCAGAAUACUGUCUCUUCUCCUUCUCUUUUCUGUUUGGUAAUAGAAGAAGAGAAGAAAAGUUUGAAGUCAGUACUUUAUGUCAUUUAGUAUAUGAACCAAUAACUCAACACAUUUAGACAAAAAACCAUGAAAUAAACUUUACUUAUACUCUAAAAUAAACCAAACCAAACUACAAAAGUAGUAAGAAGGAAAUUAUAAAAUAAAAUCUAUCAAUUAACUAGAAAACAGAAAAAUAGAAUUGAGCAUUAAAGUCUAGAUUUGGACCUUAAAAAUUCCAAAUCAAAAGAAAGCUCUGACUAGCUAGAAGAGAAGGAAAAACACACAAUGUUAUAAAUGAAAAGGAGCAUGCCAGAUAAUACCACUGAGAAAAUUUGAAAUAAUGAGAGAAAAUAAAGUAUAACUCUUUUCUUGUUAGGUAUAAAAUUUUCAUGAAAUGACUGAUUUUCUUAGAUAAUGUAAUUAAACGGAAAUGUGUAAUAGAGUAAACAUGACUGAGAGAAAAACUUUAUUGAUCAAACAUUUUGGCUUCCAAGUAAAGUGCCUGACCUAGCUCAAUAUUAGGUAACAUUAUGGAGUAUUUCCUGGGUGUGAUAAUGACAUUGUGGUUAUAUGAUAAGUGAAUUAUUUAGGGUUGAAGUGUCAAAUCACAGUGUCUUUGUGGAAGGAUAAAGCUUUGUGGAGGGAUAGGGGAAAUUGUUCAACAGUUGUUGAAUCUAAGUAGAAGGAAUUCACAUGUUUAUUUUAACAUUCUAUCAACUUUUUGGUAUAUUCUUAACAAAAAGAAAACAACAAUGCCUGACUUAGAUGUUUAUGUGGGUGACUCAAGCUAUCAGGUAAUGGAUAACUCCUGUGCUAUAUAAAAAGUUCUAAUACACUAAUAAAAACUUCCUAAUUUAUUUGAGGACAUUAACAAAAACCUCAGAAGACAUACCUGAAAUUAUGAAUCUUUCAUAUCAGUGUGAUGUCUCCACUUUUAUUUCUAAUUUUAUUUAUUUGAGUCUUCUAGUUUUUUCUUAGUCUAGCUAAAUGUUUAACAUUGUUUUUACCUUUUCAAAACUAACAGUUUAGUUGAUUUCUUCCUGUUUUUCUGUUUUUCAUUUCUGCUCUAAUUUUUAUUCUUUCAUUCUUUCUGCUAACUUUGGGCUUAGUUUUGUUCUUCUUUUUCUAGUUCCUUGAGGUGUAAAGUUGAGUUGCUUAUUUGAGAUCUUUCUUCCUUUAAAAACAGACAGUUAUCAUUAGAAACUUCCCUCUUAGUCCUGAUUUUGCUUCAUCCCAUAAGUUUUCAUUUGUUGUAUUUUUGUCUUAAGAUAUUUUUAAAUUUUCCUUGAUCUCAUCUUUGAUCCACUGGUUGUUUAAGAGUGUGUUGUUGCUCUACCGGUGGGAUUUGAUUGCAUGAUGUCUCACAAAAAGUUCUCCGCUCCCAGGCAUGGGUCCCUCAGCUUCCUGCCUCGGAAGCGCAGCAGCAGGCAUCGGGGGAAGGUCAAGAGCUUCCCUAAGGAUGACCCAUCUAAGCCAGUCCACCUCACAGCCUUCCUGGGAUACAAGGCUGGCAUGACCCACAUCGUGCGGGAAGUCGACAGGCCAGGAUCCAAGGUGAACAAGAAGGAGGUGGUGCAGGCUGUGACUAUUGUGGAGACGCCACCCAUGGUGGUUGUGGGCAUUGUGGGCUACAUGGAAACCCCUCGAGGCCUCCGGACCUUCAAGACUGUCUUCGCUGAGCACAUCAGUGAUGAAUGCAAGAGACGUUUCUAUAAGAACUGGCAUAAAUCUAAGAAGGCCUUUACCAAGUACUGCAAGAAAUGGCAGGAUGAGGACGGCAAGAAGCAGCUGGAGAAGGACUUCAGCAGCAUGAAGAAGUACUGCCAAGUCAUCUGUGUCAUUGCCCACACCCAGAUGCACCUGCUUCCUCUGCGCCAGAAGAAGGCCCACCUGAUGGAGAUCCAGGUGAAUGGAGGCACCGUGGCCGAGAAGCUGGACUGGGCCUGUGAGAGGUUCGAGCAGCAGGUACCUGUGAACCAAGUGUUUGGGCAGGAUGAGAUGAUCAACAUCAUCAGGGUGACCAAGGGCAAAGGCUACAAAGGAGUCACCAGUCUUUGGCACACCAAGAAGCUGCCCCGCAAGACCCACUGAGGUCUGUGCAAGGUGGCCUGUAUUGGGGCAUGGCAUCCUGCUUGUGUGGCCUUCUCUGUGGCACGUGCUGGGCAGAAAGGCUGCCAUCACCACACUGAGAUCAACAAGAAGAUCUAUAAGAUUGGCGAGCGCUGCCUUAUCACAGACGGCAAGCUGAUCAAGAACAAUGCUUCCACUGACUAUGACCUGCCUGAAAGAGCAUCAACCCUCUGGGUGGCUUUGUCCGCUAUGGGGAAGUGACCAAUGACUUUGUCAUGCUGAAAGGCUGUGUGGUGGGAACGAAGAAGCGGAUGCGCACACUCCGCAAGUCCUUGCUGGCGCAGACAAAGCGGCGGACUGUGGAGAAGAUUGACCUUAAGUUCAUUGACACCACCUCCAAGUUUGGCCAUGGUCACUUCCAGACCAUGGAAGAGAAGAAAGCAUUCAUGGGACCACUCAAGAAAGACUGAAUUGCAAAGGAAGAAGGAGCUUAAUGCCAGGAGCAGAUUUUGCAGCUGGUGGGGUCUCAAUAAAAAUUAUUUUCCACUGGGGACAAAAAAAAAAAAAAAAGAGUGUGUUGUUAAUUACCACAUAAUUGUGAUUUUCCCAGUUUUCCUUCUGUUACGGAUUUCUAAUUUUAGUCUAUUGUGCUUGGGAAAAAAAGCUUGGUAUCAUUUCAGUCUUCUUAAAUUUGUUCAGACUUGUUUUAUGACUUAAUAUGUGAUCUGUCCUGGAGAAUGUUCUGUGUGCAGUUGAGAAGACUGUGUAUUCUGCAAUUGUUAGGUGGAAUAUUCAGUAUAUGUGUGUUCUAUUCAUUAUUGAAAAUGGAGUACUGACAUCUUCUAUUGUAUUGCUAUUUUUCCUUUCAGUUCCGUCAGUGUUUGCUUUAUAUAUUUAGGUGCUCUGAUGUUGAGUGUAUAUAUGUUUAUACUUGUGUUAUCUUUCUGAUGAAUUGACUCUUUUAUCAUAUGACCUUCUUUGUCUCUUGGGAUGGUUUUUAAUUUAAAGUCUAUAUUGUCUGAUAGUAUGGCCACAACUGUGCUCUUUUGGUUGCUAUCUGCAUGGAGUAUAUUUUCCUGUUCCUUCACUUUUAGCCUGUGUGUCCUUAAAUCUAAAGUGAGUCUCUUGUAGAUAGCAUAUAGUUGGAUCUUAUUUUUAAAAUUAAUUCAGCCACUAUAUGUCUUUUGAUUAGGGAGUUUACUGCAUUUACAUUAAAUUAUUGAUAGAGAAAGACUUACUAGUUCCAUUUUGUUAAUCGUUUUCUUUCUCACAGUUCUUUCGUCCCUUUUCUCCUCUCUUGCUGUCUUCCUUUGUAAUUUGUUGAUUUUGCUUUGAUCCUUCAUUUUUUUUUCUUUUUCUUUUGUGUAUCUUCUAUAGGUAUUUUCUUUGUGGUUACCAAAGUCUUACAUAAAAUAACUUAUAGCUACAGCAAAAGCAAUUUUAAAAAUAGACAAACAGGACUGCAUCAAACUAAAAAGCUUUUGCACAGCAAAGGAAACAGUUAAGAGAAUGAACUGGUAAUCUAUGGAAUAGGAGAAAAUAUUUGUAAACCAUGUAUCUAAUGAGGGGUUAAUAUCCAAAGUAUAUAAGGAACACCUGCAAAUCAACAGCCAAAAGAAAAAAAAGAAAAAAAAAAUCCCCAAAACAAAAAACAAAUAACCUGGUUAAAACAUGGGUAAAGGACUUAAAUGAACAUUUCUUAAAACAUACAAAUGUGUAAGGUGCUGUAUAUGAAGAGAUAUUCAAUAUCGCCAGUCAUCAGGAAAAUCCAAAUCAAAACCACAAUGACUUACCACUUCAUAUCUGUUAGGAUGGCUGAUAUCAAAACAAAACAAAUUGUAACAGGUGUUGGAGAGGAUGUGGAGAAAUUAGAACCCUGUACACUGUAGAUGGGCAUGUAAAAUAGUGUAGCCGUUGUGGAAAAUAGUAUGGAGAUUCCUAAAAAAAAAAAAAAAUAGAAUUACCAUAUGAUCCCACUUCUGGGUGCAUAUCCAAAGGAAAUGAAAUCAGAAUCUUGAGGAGAUCCCAUGUUCACAAUAGCAUUAAUCACAAUAGCCAAGAUACAUAAACAAGAUGUAUAAACAUCGAUAGAUAAAUGGAUAAAGAAAAUGUAGUAUAUACAUACAAUGGAAUAUUAUUCCACCUUAAGGAGGUCCUGGUGUAUGUGACAACAUGGAUGACCCUAUAAGACAUUAAAAUAAUUCAGUCACAGAAGGACAAAUACUGAAUGAUUUCACUUACGUGAAAUAUCUAAAAAUAGUCAAAUUCAGAAAACAGAGAGUAGAAUGGUGAUUGCCAAGGACUGGGAGGAAGGGGGAAUUGGGAAUUGAUGUUACAUAGGUAUCACAGGCAAAGCAGGUAAUUCAAUAUUAGGAAAUUUAUGAAUAAGUUUUUACAUUAGUAGAUCUAAUGGAGAAGUCAUAAUUCAUUAAGCUCCAAAAAGUAUUUGGGAAUUAAAAAAUCUGUAAUUAAAAAUAUUUCUUUAGAAGAAUAUUUCUUUACAGUAGAAUAAUACCUCAAAUAUGAUAAAGAAUAUGUAUUUGAAAUUUGCAAUCAGCAUAAUAAAGGCAAAUACUUUUGUUAUGCAUAUAAAACAUUUGUGAGAGAAGUCAUAUAAUGUGGUGGAGUAGGGAACUCUAGGACUUUUACAAAAACACCUAAUUAGCUUCCAGAAACUAUCAGAAUUAAUUUUUAUAGAACUCUGGAAUUUAGUUAACAUUAAAAAAACAGGAAAAGUAAGGAGCUGUAGCACUGCAGAAAAACACGAUGGCACCUUAAAUUGCUCACCUACCAUUCCUUGUGCCUAGAUUAAUAAUGGCUUUGAAAACGGCAGCUUACACUCAUGGUGCAGGCUGUUAGCACCGGAAGGGUUAGUACAGAUCUUGCUCUCAAAAGAUUGUGAUUGUUUUAACCUGUCUGAAGUCUCUGAAGGACCGGUAUAGAGCUUCCUUUUGUUUUACACAACUCAGAGCUUUCCGGGGACUGGGGUGGCUUAUCCGUCAUCACGUGUCAAAAGUAUUUAAAAGCCAGAGUAUCAACUGUAGAAGUCUGAGUCGGGAUAAAAAUUAGGACAAUGAAUAGGUAGACAAAAAGCCAGGAAGGAACAGUUGAAAAGGAGAUACAGGGUGGUAUAAGGACUUUUAAAUGCUUUUGUAUAUGCUGAGAAAUUGAGAAUGCUAUGUACAUGCCUAGGAUUGGACAACUCCUCACAGAAGGCUUGAGAAGACCCUAAGCUUUCACCACUAGCUGACCUUCCGGCUCUGCCUAACUAAGUAGGAUGUGAAGGUUAAGAUAGAGUUGUAAACAGUCUGGCUAAGUUUUGAUGAAAUGCCACAACACAGAGCAAAAAAGACUGGGAGUGGUUUUUUUUUCUUUUCUAUUACCUUUUUUCUUUCCUUGGCUGCAGGUGUUUAAGGAAACGGUCAAAACAGUAGUUGACCCUGAAGCUAAGUGAGCACAGACUUCACUUCCAUGUACAACAAAGAAUGUAAACUUUAUGAAAUAGUCAGUAAACAACACUUACAACAAGCAGUAACAGCAAACUCCAGGGAAGGGGGAGAAUUCCAGUAUCGAGAGUUGUCACAUUAUAAUAUUCAAUAUGUCCAGUUUUCAACAAAUUAUAAGGCAUGCAAAGAAAUAAAGAAGUGUGACUCAUUCAGAGGAAAAAAGAGAAAUUAGUGAAACUAUCCCUGAGGAAGCCCACCUUAAAUGUACUCAAUGAACUAAACAAAACCAUCAGCAAAGAACUAAAGGGAACCAAGAAAAGGAUUUUUCACCAAAAAGAAAUAUCAACAAAGAAAUUAUAAAAAGGAAACAAAUAGAAAUUCUGCAGCUGAAAAGUACAGUAACAAAAAUUCAUUAGAGGGGUUCAAUAGCUGAUUUGAGUAGUCUGAACAAAGAAUCAGUGAACUUGAAGAAAGGUCAGUUGAUGUAUUCAUUUGAGGAGCAGAAAGAGAAAAGAAUAGAGAAAAUGAACAGGGCUAUGGGACAUCCCCAAGCAUACCAACAUAUGCAUUAUGGGAUUCUUAGAGGGAAGAGAGAGAGAGACAGAGAGAGAGCAAAAGGGGCAGAAAUAACAUUUGAAGAAAUAAUGGUUGAAAACUUCCCUAAUUUGAUGAAAAAUGAACUCCAAAUGGGUUAAACUCAGAGACCCACACCACGACCUAUUAUAGUCAAAUUGUUAAAUACUUAGCAUAGUUACUGGUUCUAUUAGUAGAAAUAUACUUUCCCUAAUGAAGUCAGCUUUAACAGAUUUUUUUUAAACAAGUGUUUCCAAAAGCUUAUUGAUUUUUAAGUAAGUUUUGUGUCACAUGGUAAUAUAUUUCUUUUAUUUGUAGAAAGUAAAUUUUUACUUGUUAGUGCUUGUUGACUCUGUGUGUGUGUGUGUCUGUGUGUGUGUCUGUGUAUUGGUUUACGUGAUGGUGAAGAACUACUUAUUUCUUUUUUGGUUUGUUAUAUGAGGUCUUUGACAUUGUUUGUGACAGGGUCUUGCUCCGUCACCCAGGCUGGAGUGUAGUAGCUAUAUCAUAGCUUACUGCAACGUCCGCCUCCCGAGCUCAAGCUAUCUUUCCACCUCAGUCUCUCAAAGUGCUGGUAUUACAGGCUUGAGCCACUGCACCUGGCUGAUGUGUCAUUAAGCUGGACAAUGAAAGAAUAAUAUAACCUGAUAAAACUCAUGUAGAUCUGUUGAGAAGAGAGAAUUAAUUUUAAUUGUGAAAUAGUCUCUGGAAAUUAGUAAAAGACGUAUUUUAGCUAACCAGUAAUUUCAUAACUUUAUCUCAGUAUAAUUUACUGUAAUACAUAAGGUUUGCCCAUUUAAAUUGUAUAGUUUGUUGACAGAAUUUUACAAUAACAUAAUUUUAGAACUUUGUUGUCAUUCUCCCCUCUUCCCCAAUUCCCUAGCCCUAGGCAAACACCAGUUCACUUUCUCUCCCUAUGGAUUUGCCAAUUCUGAACAUUUUAUGUAAGUAGAAUUGUAAUAUAUGAUCUUUUGUGACUGCCUUCUUUUACAUGUUAUAAUGUUUUCAAGAGUCAUUCAUGUUAUGUUGUAACAUGAAUCAGUACUUCAUCCCUUUUUAUUGCCAAAUUAUAUUUCAUUGUGUAGAUAUUUUGUUUACUCAUUAGUUGGUAGAUAUUUGGAUUUUCCACUCUGGCCAUUGUGAAUAGUGCUGCUAUGAACAUAGUAAGUGUUUAUGUGUUAGAGUGGAUGUUUCAUUUCUCUUGGGUAUAUACCUAACAGUAGAAUUACUGGGACAUAUGGUAACUCCAUGUUUAACAUGUUGAGGAACUUCUAAACUUUUUUCUGAAGUAGCGGCGCUAUUUACAUUCCCACAAGCAGUGUAUGAGUGUUUUAGUUUCUCCAUAUCCUUUCCAACAUUUGUCAUUUUCUGUCUGUUUGAUUAUAGCCUGAUGUUAAGGGUAUUUAUUGUGAUUUUUUACCUAGUUCUAACAACUAAUGGUGUUGAACAUCUUUUCAUGUGAUUAUUGGUCAUUUAUCUUUUCUGAUGAAAUACCUAUUCAAAUUCUUUACCCAUUUAUAAAUUUAUCACUUUACAAAUUUGUUGAAUUGCAAGCAUUCUUUUUAUAUUCUGGAUAUUAGGCCAUUAGCAGAUUUAUGGACUUACCAAUAUAUUCUCCCAUUCUGUAGGCUUUUUCACUUUCUUGAUGGCGACCUGUGAUACACAAAAGUUUUAAAUUCUCAUGAACUCUAACUUAUCAGACUUUUGGUGACAUAUCUAAGAAAUCAGUGCAUAACCCAGGGUCACAAAGAUUUAGUGUUUUCUUCUGAGAUACUUAGUUUUGGUUUUUAUGUUUAGAUCUGUGGUUCUAUUUGAGGCAAUUAAAAUUUUUAUUAUUUUUUUAAAAUUGUGAUAAAAUAUACAUAAAAUUUAUCAUCUUAACCAUUGUUAAGUAUAUGGUUCAGUGGCGUUAAGUACAUUCAUGUUGUUGUUUAAACAAUCUCUAUAGCUUUUUAAAUCUUGCAAUACUGAAACUCUAUAUCCAUUAAACAACAAGUCCUCAUUUUCGCCUUUCCCUUUGCCCCUAGCAACCACUAUUCUACUUUCUGUCUCUAUGAAUUUGACUACUCUGAGUACCUUAUAGUAGCGGAAUCACACAGUGUAUGUCUUUUUGCCAGUGGCUUAUUUCAUUCAGUAGUAUAUUCUUAAAAUUCACCCAUGUUGUACUAUAUGUCAGAAUUUCCUUCUUUUUUAAGACUAUAUUAUUCCAUUGUGUGUGUAUGCUACAUUUUGUUUAUCCAUUCAUCUGUUGAUAGACACUUGAGUUGCUUCUGCCAUUUGGCUAUUGUGAAUAAUGCUGCUGUGAACAUGUUUGUUAUAAUUAUCACUUCAAGAUCCUGCUUUCACUUCUUUUGGGUAUAGACCCAGAAGUGGAAUUGCUGGAUCAUAUAGUCAUUCUAUUUUUAAGUUUUU
Chlorocebus sabaeus (green monkey) is the source of this 13362-nucleotide non-coding RNA. The record is from RefSeq and is a predicted model, not a curated record. NCBI's taxonomy places the organism in Eukaryota, Metazoa, Chordata, Mammalia, Primates, Cercopithecidae.